This 1183-nucleotide long non-coding RNA is filed under the name Cricetulus griseus (Chinese hamster). Its description in RNAcentral is "lncRNA (ENSCGRG00000024854.1)". Lineage: Eukaryota; Metazoa; Chordata; Mammalia; Rodentia; Cricetidae. The record is from RNAcentral.
UUAACAUGUUAUAUCACACAUAUUUAUGGUGUCAAGAUACUCUUAAUUUAGGCAAAAGAUUAGUCUAAAGAUGGGCAUAUUCUAAUAUUACAUAAUUUUAGAAAUAGAACCUUUAAAAUCAUGUUUAAAAGUUAAAGGAAUCCUCCCCAUCUCAGGUACUUUAUAUUGCAUCAUCAAUGAGGAAAUAAUUCUUGUCCUGAUGGUGUGAAGUUGGAGUGAUCAUUGGGUGUUAGAGGUCAUGUGGUUGCACUGCCAAUGAAUGAACAGAUAUCUCUUUCCUUGCAAGGGGUGCCAGGAUCUACAGCAAGGAAGAUUUACCUGCAACAAAAGUGUGUGAUGACCCCCAAGAGAUGGGAAGGUGUGCUCCAAUUGUUUCUGGGAGAUGAUGGAGGAGGAUGGCCUCAAACUCCUUGCCAGAGGAACUCAUUUAGAUGGCACCAACCUUGACUUUCAGAUGGAGCAAUACAUCUACAAAAGGAAAAGUGAUGAUAUCUACAUCGUAAGUCUGAAGAGGACAUAGGAGAAGCUUUUGCUUUCAGACUCCAACUAUUGUUGCCAUUGAGAACCCUGCUGAUGUCAGCAUCAUCUCCUCUCUUAUCCAUGGGAACGUUAAGAGUUUCCCCAUUUUUUCAUGAUGCUGGCUUUAGGUCUGUUGGACAUAGCAUUUAUUAUGGUGAGGUUUUCUCAACAUGAAAUUUUCAUGACUCUUAUGAAUAAGUGAUUUGAGAUUUUGGCAGAAGCAAAUGGAAAAAUAGAUAAAAUUUAUUGAUUUAAAUGUGUGAGCCAUCUCAUAAUCUCUGGAAUGAAGUCAGUUUAGCUGUGAUAAGUGAUCAUUUUGAAGCACUCUUGAAUUCUUCCUGAUGCUAUUUUAUUGACAGUGUUGGCUUUUAUAUUCAUCAAAGAGACUGGUUUGUAAUUUUUUUCCUUUUUGUUGUUGUGAUCUUAGUUGAUUUUGAUAUCAGGGUAAAACUGACCAUAAAAUACUUGAAAAAAAUAUUAAUUCCUUUUAUAUUUCAUGGAAUAACUUAAGUCAUAUCAGGAUUUGUUCUUGGAAGUUCUGAUAAAAUUAUGCCUGUGAAUCUAUCUGUUCCUGGGUUUAUAUCUUUUUAAUUUUUUAUUAUUUUUAAUUACUCAUAUAUACAUAUCCAUCCCCCAUUCCCUCACCCACCCUCCUCCCAUGUUC